AACGCACAUUGCACUCCUUGGUAUUCCGAGGAGUAUGCCUGUUUCAGUAUCAUGAGCACUCUCACAACUAACCUUUGGGUGAAAUUGUGGAAUUGGAAUGCGCUGAUUUUAAUGAUCAGCCCUUCUAAAAUAUAUUUCAUGACUGUCACCUAACACAGCAGUUUGGCCUAAUAGUUUUGACAUUGAUUUGUCAAAUCUUUGGCUUACAUUUGCUUCAGGUUGUCAGUCUUGAUAAUACAGAAAACUCAUUCAAAUUUUGAUCUGAAAUCAGGUAGGGCUACCCGCUGAACUUAA
RNAcentral lists this unclassified non-coding RNA (294 nucleotides) under uncultured fungus. RNAcentral's name for it is "partial contains 5.8S ribosomal RNA, internal transcribed spacer 2, and large subunit ribosomal RNA". The record is from RNAcentral. Lineage: Eukaryota; Fungi.